Transfer RNA from Auxenochlorella protothecoides, 85 nucleotides. It matches the Rfam family "tRNA". Rfam says of the family: Transfer RNA (tRNA) molecules are approximately 80 nucleotides in length. Their secondary structure includes four short double-helical elements and three loops (D, anti-codon, and T loops). Further hydrogen bonds mediate the characteristic L-shaped molecular structure. tRNAs have two regions of fundamental functional importance: the anti-codon, which is responsible for specific mRNA codon recognition, and the 3' end, to which the tRNAs corresponding amino acid is attached (by aminoacyl-tRNA synthetases). tRNAs cope with the degeneracy of the genetic code in two manners: having more than one tRNA (with a specific anti-codon) for a particular amino acid; and 'wobble' base-pairing, i.e. permitting non-standard base-pairing at the 3rd anti-codon position. NCBI's taxonomy places the organism in Eukaryota, Viridiplantae, Chlorophyta, Trebouxiophyceae, Chlorellales, Chlorellaceae. The record is from Rfam.
GCAUCCAUGGCAGAGUGGUCGAUCGCACCGCACUCAUAAUGCGGUUCUUUUUAAGGCGCCGUUGGUUCAAACCCAACUGGAUGCA